UGCAGUCGACGAUGAAGCCCAGCUUGCUGGGUGGAUUAGUGGCGAACGGGUGAGUAACACGUGAGUAACCUGCCCUUGACUCUGGGAUAAGCGCUGGAAACGGCGUCUAAUACCGGAUAUGACAACCGACGGCAUCGUCUGGUUGUGGAAAGAAUUUUGGUCAAGGAUGGACUCGCGGCYCUAUCAGCUUGUUGGUGAGGUAAUGGCUCACCAAGGYGACGACGGGUAGCCGGCCUGAGAGGGUGACCGGCCMCACUGGGACUGAGACRCKGMCCAKACUCCUACSGGAGGCAGCASUGGGGAAUAUUGCMCAAUGGGCGAAAGCCUGAUGCWSCARCGCCSCGUGAGGGACKACGGCCUUCSGGUUGURAACCUCUUUUAKCAGGGAAGAAGCGAAAGUGACGGUACCUGCAKAAAAAGCACCGGCUAACUACGUGCCAGCAGCCGCGGUAAUAC
This 456-nucleotide ribosomal RNA is filed under the name Microbacteriaceae bacterium THA5.11. RNAcentral's name for it is "partial 16S ribosomal RNA". It matches the Rfam family "Bacterial small subunit ribosomal RNA", at positions 56 to 526 of the family's 1533-position model. The record is from RNAcentral. Lineage: Bacteria; Bacillati; Actinomycetota; Actinomycetes; Micrococcales; Microbacteriaceae.